UAGGUGAACCUGCGGAAGGACAUUAGUGAAUAUAGGACGUCCAACUUAACUUGGAGUCCGAACUCUCACUUUCUAACCCUGUGCAUUUGUUUGGGAUAGUAACUCUCGCAAGAGGGCGAACUCCUAUUCACUUAUAAACACAAAGUCUAUGAAUGUAUUAAAUUUUAUAACAAAAUAAAACUUUCAACAACGGAUCUCUUGGCUCUCGCAUCGAUGAAGAACGCAGCGAAAUGCGAUAAGUAAUGUGAAUUGCAGAAUUCAGUGAAUCAUCGAAUCUUUGAACGCACCUUGCGCUCCAUGGUAUUCCGUGGAGCAUGCCUGUUUGAGUGUCAUGAAUACUUCAACCCUCCUCUUUCUUAAUGAUUGAAGAGGUGUUUGGUUUCUGAGCGCUGCUGGCCUUUAGGGUCUAGCUCGUUCGUAAUGCAUUAGCAUCCGCAAUCGAACUUCGGAUUGACUUGGCGUAAUAGACUAUUCGCUGAGGAAUUCUAGUCUUCGGACUAGAGCCGGGUUGGGUUAAAGGAAGCUUCUAAUCAGAAUGUCUACAUUUUAAGAUUAGAUCUCAAAUCAGGUAGGAC
This 575-nucleotide ribosomal RNA is filed under the name Antarctic fungal sp. GI951. RNAcentral describes it as "eukaryotic LSU rRNA". The stretch from base 179 to 332 matches the Rfam family "5.8S ribosomal RNA". Lineage: Eukaryota; Fungi. The record is from RNAcentral.